AACGCGAAGAACCUUACCCAGAUUUGACAUGUAGUGGAAUUAGGUAGAAAUAUCUAAGCCCUUCGGGGCCGCUACACAGGUGCUGCAUGGCUGUCGUCAGCUCGUGCCGUGAGGUGUUGGGUUAAGUCCCGCAACGAGCGCAACCCUUAUCGUUAGUUGCCAACAGGUAAUGCUGGGAACUCUAGCGAGACUGCCUGGGUUAACCAGGAGGAAGGUGAGGAUGACGUCAAGUCCGCAUGGCCCUUAUAUCUGGGGCUACACACGUGCUACAAUGGUCGGUACAGAAGGCAGCGAAACCGCGAGGUGAAGCAAAUCCAAAAAGCCGGCCUCAGUUCAGAUUGUAGUCUGCAACUCGACUACAUGAAGACGGAAUUGCUAGUAAUGGCGAGUCAGCAACAUCGCCGUGAAUACGUUCCCGGGCCUUGUACACACCGACGCGUA
This 441-nucleotide ribosomal RNA is filed under the name uncultured bacterium. Its description in RNAcentral is "bacterial SSU rRNA". It matches the Rfam family "Bacterial small subunit ribosomal RNA", at positions 958 to 1399 of the family's 1533-position model. The record is from RNAcentral.